This 376-nucleotide ribosomal RNA is filed under the name uncultured organism. RNAcentral's name for it is "partial 16S ribosomal RNA". It matches the Rfam family "Bacterial small subunit ribosomal RNA", at positions 527 to 897 of the family's 1533-position model. The record is from RNAcentral.
GUAGGUGGCAAGCGUUGUCCGGGAAUUAUUGGGGCGUAAAGCGCGCGCAGGCGGUUCUUUAAGUCUGAUGUGAAAGCCCACGGGCUCAACCGUGGAGGGUCAUUGGAAACUGGAGAACUUGAGUACAGAAGAGGAAAGCGGAAUUCCACGUGUAGCGGUGAAAUGCGUAGAGAUGUGGAGGAACACCAGUGGCGAAGGCGGCUUUCUGGCCUGUAACUGACGCUGAGGCGCGAAAGCGUGGGGAGCAAACAGGAUUAGAUACCCUGGUAGUCCACGCCGUAAACGAUGAGUGCUAAGUGUUAGGGGGUUUCCGCCCCUUAGUGCUGCAGCUAACGCAUUAAGCACUCCGCCUGGGGAGUACGGCCGCAAAGGCUGA